UGUAAACCNGGGAAGGGAGCUUACAGAAG
RNAcentral lists this non-coding RNA (29 nucleotides) under Rattus norvegicus (Norway rat). The record is from RNAcentral. Lineage: Eukaryota; Metazoa; Chordata; Mammalia; Rodentia; Muridae.